This 253-nucleotide ribosomal RNA is filed under the name uncultured bacterium. Its description in RNAcentral is "partial 16S ribosomal RNA". It matches the Rfam family "Bacterial small subunit ribosomal RNA", at positions 524 to 776 of the family's 1533-position model. The record is from RNAcentral.
UACGUAGGGUGCAAGCGUUGUCCGGAAUUAUUGGGCGUAAAGAGCUCGUAGGCGGUUUGUCGCGUCUGCUGUGAAAACUCGAGGCUCAACCUCCAGCCUGCAGUGGGUACGGGCAGACUAGAGUGCGGUAGGGGAGAUUGGAACUCCUGGUGUAGCGGUGGAAUGCGCAGAUAUCAGGAGGAACACCGGUGGCGAAGGCGGGUCUCUGGGCCGUAACUGACGCUGAGGAGCGAAAGCGUGGGGAGCGAACGGG